GACACGCUGGCGGCGUGCCUAACACAUGCAAGUCGAGCGGGGUUGAGGCGAGAGGUAACUCGAACUUCUACCUAGCGGCGGACGGGUGAGUAACGCGUGGGCAACCUGCCUCAAGGUUUGGGAUAACAGCCCGAAAGGGCUGCUAAUACCGGAUAUGCCUAUGGCCUCGCAUGGGGCUAUGAGCAAAGGGGAAACCCGCCUUGAGAUGGGCCCGCGUCCCAUCAGCUAGUUGGUGAGGUAACAGCUCACCAAGGCGACGACGGGUAGCCGGCCUGAGAGGGUGACCGGCCACACUGGGACUGAGACACGGCCCAGACUCCUACGGGGGGCAGCAGUGGGGGAUCUUGCACAAUGGGCGAAAGCCUGAUGCAGCGACGCCGCGUGAGCGAAGAAGGCCUUCGGGUUGUAAAGCUCUGUCUGGAGGGACGAACAAAAUGACGGUACCUCCGGAGGAAGCCACGGCUAACUACGUG
This 473-nucleotide ribosomal RNA is filed under the name uncultured bacterium. Its description in RNAcentral is "bacterial SSU rRNA". It matches the Rfam family "Bacterial small subunit ribosomal RNA", at positions 33 to 507 of the family's 1533-position model. The record is from RNAcentral.